CAAAGGAAGCAAGAACACAGCUAGACGACAUAGGAAUGAUUGUGGAAGGGGCCUUGGAACCACGAGGCCUCGCACCAGCGGCUCCGGGGGGUGCUGGCCACCAGGAGAUUCCGACCGCAGCCCAUCCACAAAGCCCACAACCGAGAGACGCCGAGCAACACCGGCCAGCUCACCUCCACAGGCCCUUCACCACACCGGCUUCACCGCCUAGACAUGCAUGCGAUCAGACACAUGGAGAAAGCACCCACAGAGCUCCGUUCUUCCGGCCUUUGCUUUGGUUUGGAUAAAGGGGUGGUUUUUCCAAUACACAGAGUGCCCAAAGGGGCUAGUUUGGGGGCUCCGGUCCUGUGGGCUGCAGAUUCCCACCAGGGAUGGUUCUAUCUAAAUUGCCGUGGAAGGAGACAAAGCAGG
Perognathus longimembris pacificus (Pacific pocket mouse) is the source of this 411-nucleotide long non-coding RNA. RefSeq lists it as uncharacterized. The transcript is spliced from 3 exons. The record is from RefSeq and is a predicted model, not a curated record. Lineage: Eukaryota; Metazoa; Chordata; Mammalia; Rodentia; Heteromyidae.